AAAAAGGGCUUCUGUCAUGAGUGGCACACAUAGGGCAACCUGAUUGCUCUGCAUGUGGAAUCAACAUCAAGAGAUUUGGGAAGCAUAAUUUCUUGGUGAUCAUUGGUUCCCGUGUGUGUGUGUCGGGGGGAAUAACCA
Molecule: small nuclear RNA, 138 nt
Organism: Onychomys torridus (southern grasshopper mouse)
Lineage: Eukaryota; Metazoa; Chordata; Mammalia; Rodentia; Cricetidae
Product: U11 spliceosomal RNA
Exons: 1
Source: RefSeq, a predicted model, not a curated record